Molecule: RNA transcript, 2566 nt
Organism: Cryptomeria japonica (Japanese cedar)
Lineage: Eukaryota; Viridiplantae; Streptophyta; Pinopsida; Cupressales; Cupressaceae
Gene name: protein S-acyltransferase 8
Exons: 8
Source: RefSeq, a predicted model, not a curated record
AAAGAUACUGUAAAAGGAAAUCGCAGUCAAUAGUUAUAAUAUACUACACCUAGUUGUAAUGAGCCCCUUUUACCAAAAAGAAAGAAUAAAUCAUUGACAAAACAUAAGCAGCCUGAACAACAAUAUCAAAACAUCACGCCAGAACAUUUUGAGCAACAAAAUAAUAACGAGCAUCUUGCAUUGUAGAGAAAAUAUUCCCUUUAUUUUGGUUCAGUUGGGCCAAGCUUCUUACUUUAGCAGUUUUAAGAAAACCACGGUUUUCCCUUUUAACUAAGAGCAAAACCGCUAUUGUUCAGCCCUUCUCUUCCGUCUUUCGCCUCGAUCUGGUGAACCGUCUUUUCGGCUCUGCUGUAAAGAUUCGCAGCACUUGACAGUCGGCAGAAAAUUCGUAAAGCGCUUGUAUUGGGAUACGGUGCUUGAUGCUAAGGGAAACCGACAACAUUUUUGGUAACUGACACUCCGAUAAAUGCGAUUAGGAGUAAGAGGAGUGAUUUUGGAGCCACGGAAGAUGAAGGAACGAUGAAUUUUAGCGGUUUUGGAAGGCUGUUUUGUGAGAUUAUUGUUAUAGCCGAGGCGGAUGGCCAAGCGCGUGUAUCAAGUGUGGAAGGGGAGCAAUAAAUUUUUCCUUUGUGGGAGACUGAUAUUUGGACCUGAUGUUCGGUCUUUGGUUGUCACGGUGUUCCUAAUUGUUGUUCCUGUAGUAAUAUUUUGCGAAUUUGUUGCCAGGAAUCUUUUACACCGAUUUUCAGGAUAUAAUAGUGGAUAUGCAAUUCUAGUGGUGACAAUUGUAUACACAUUUUAUGUACUGGCGGUGCUGAUGCUUACCUCUGCUAGAGAUCCUGGUAUUGUUCCUCGUGCUCCACAUCCACCAGAACCUGAAGAUGUUAUGGAUUCUGCAAAUUCACCUGUUGAAUGGGGUGGUGGACAGACACCACGAUUAAGAUUACCUCGGACAAAGGACAUGAUGGUCAAUGGGGUGGUUGUCAAAGUAAAGUACUGUGAUACUUGUAUGCUAUAUCGCCCGCCACGUUGCUCUCAUUGUUCAAUUUGUAAUAACUGUGUAGAAAGAUUCGACCACCAUUGUCCUUGGGUUGGACAAUGCAUUGGACAGCGAAAUUAUCGCUUCUUCUUCAUGUUUGUUUCUUCUUCCACUGUCUUGUGCAUUUAUGUCUUCGCAAUGUCGGCAUUAUACAUUAAGUUCCUCAAGGAUGAUCACCGCAGCGUUUGGCAUGCUUUGAAACACUCUCCAGCAUCUGUGGUUCUCAUGGCUUACACAUUUGUCGCUGUUUGGUUUGUUGGUGGAUUAACGCUUUUUCAUCUGUACCUCAUAAGCACAAAUCAGACGACUUAUGAAAAUUUCCGUUAUCGAUGUGACAACAAAGUUAAUCCUUAUAAUGAAGGGAUCAUCAAUAAUUUUAAUGCAAUUUUUUGCACAAAGAUAAAAUCUUCUCAGAACAAGUUUCGUGCUAAGGUACAGGAGGAUGCAUCUACACAAAUGGGAGUUAUUCAUCAAACUGCAGAAAUUAGAGAUGUGGUUGGAGAUCUUCCUGCAAAAAUGAGUGUGGAUUUGGAAGCAGGUAGGAAAGCUGCAAUAGGAGAUGAAUUUGAUCCAGAAAGAGAAGCCUGCGAAGAAUUACAUAACCGAAAGAGCAAUGGUCAUGACCCUGCUGUGGACAUCAAAGAUGGCUAUGAGGAUGCUUUCACACGAGCUAUAGGGCAACCACUUUCAUUAGAGGGCACUGACACCAGAAUCAGAUCACAUCCUAGGAAGUCUAGUUGGGGCAGAAGAAGCGAGAAUUGGGAAAUCAUGCCAGAUCUACCAGCUCCAGCUUUAGGAGAUAGGACAUUGCCUGGAAAUAAUCCUGAAUUUGGAACUUACUGCUGCUGUGGCCUGCAAUUUUUUAAAACUAUGGCAUUAUGGCAGGGACAUGACUGGAAAAGCAGGGUCUGAAGACAAAGCUUCUUGAUGAUGGGAAACAAAUUUAGUAGGUACACAGUUUGCAACUUCAUGGAUACACAUAACAUAUUUACAUGGGCAGGUUUGGGGCUGCUGUCAAAGUUUGAGAGAUUGAAAAUUGGUUCUCCUUCAGAUGUAUAGCAACUUCAGUUUAUUCUAAUUUUGAAAGGUUUCAUGUUUGUCAUAGCACACAUGCCUCCCAAAACAUCUUAUAUCUGUUUGUGCUCAUCUGUGAGAGUCUACCUUUAGCAAUGGGUAUAAGCCUGCUACAAAUAGUAGUCUGAACCUACCAUUGCCUUACUGGUACACAUCCAUGAAUACGAAGAGACACUUUGCUAGAAGGGUGUAAGUUUUAACACAAUUAUUUUUUCCAUAGACAUUGCUACUGGAUAAAAAUGCACUUUUUCAAGCAUACAAGAGAAUCAUAUUUGCUUAUAAACAAAAAAUGUAAGACCAUUGCACAAGAAGCUGAGAUACCGCCUAAUCCAUUAGUGCAACACAUGGUCAAGCAUACAAGGGUUGGAUUUUUACAUACAAACAAGUGAAUGGAAGGUUAGUUGUGUGAGAAGCUAAGAUGACUGAUCUAUAAAUGCUUAUACGAUUGAAUCA